GGCAACCCUGACGGAGCAACGCCGCGUGUGGGAGGACGGCCUUCGGGUUGUAAACCACUUUUCUCAGGGAAGAAGGACUGACGGUACCUGAGGAAUAAGCCUCGGCUAACUCCGUGCCAGCAGCCGCGGUAAGACGGAGGAGGCAAGCGUUAUCCGGAAUUAUUGGGCGUAAAGCGUCCGCAGGGGGCACAUCAAGUCUGCUGUUAAAGGCUGGAGCUUAACUCCGGUAGAGCAGUGGAAACUGGUGUGCUAGAGGGCGACAGGGGUAGAGGGAAUUCCCAGUGUAGCGGUGAAAUGCGUAGAUAUCGGGAAGAACACCAGUGGCGAAGGCGCUCUACUGGGCCGCGACUGACGCUGAGGGACGAAAGCUAGGGGAGCG
Molecule: ribosomal RNA, 379 nt
Filed under: uncultured cyanobacterium
Lineage: Bacteria; Bacillati; Cyanobacteriota
Description: bacterial SSU rRNA
Rfam family: Bacterial small subunit ribosomal RNA
Source: RNAcentral